This 279-nucleotide ribosomal RNA is filed under the name uncultured bacterium. RNAcentral describes it as "partial 16S ribosomal RNA". It matches the Rfam family "Bacterial small subunit ribosomal RNA", at positions 506 to 784 of the family's 1533-position model. The record is from RNAcentral.
UGCCAGCCGCCGCGGUAAUACGGAGGGUGCAAGCGUUGCUCGGAAUCACUGGGCGUAAAGCGUACGCAGGCGGCACGUUAAGUCGGGUGUGAAAUCCCGGGGCUCAACCCCGGAACUGCAUCCGAAACUGGCGAGCUUGAAUAUAGGAGAGGGAAGCGGAAUUCCUGGUGUAGAGGUGAAAUUCGUAGAUAUCAGGAGGAACACCAGUGGCGAAAGCGGCUUCCUGGCCUAAUAUUGACGCUCAUGUACGAAAGCGUGGGGAGCAAACAGGAUUAGAUA